AUCUAGCAUUAUUAUCAGAAGAAAUGAGAUACAAAAAUAUUAAUAUUAAGAUGUUUGAGGACGUUUUCCAGAGGAAAGAGGAUGACAAUGAUAUUGAGAUUGAAACAGUACUUACAAAAUGUAAAUAUGUUUUUGUCUAUAUAUCAGAUAAUUUUUAUACAUCAAAGUUAAGACGACUAGGACUAAAAGAAUGUUGUAUAAAGGAUGCCCUGGAGGGACGAGAAACGAAGACGCAUUUUAAGAUUGUGUGUUACUGUGGACACUGGAAACUGCCCGACGAUAGGCACCUGACAAUAAAACCGGAAAAUGUAGAUUUAGACUAUUUUCUUUACGUUGAAGAGAAUCCAGAUAUCGUUUUGAAAUACAAAAAAAACGUACAAAGAUUGUCUAGACACGAUUCAGCAUAAAUAAAUGAUGAAACAGAA
RNAcentral lists this long non-coding RNA (425 nucleotides) under Mytilus galloprovincialis (Mediterranean mussel). The record is from RNAcentral. Lineage: Eukaryota; Metazoa; Mollusca; Bivalvia; Mytilida; Mytilidae.